UAUGAGCCGAUGACGUUAUGCUGAGAAAAACUACCAGAUGGAGACAAGAACAGAAUAAAACCAGAAAAACAUCACAGCUGAGUCUGGACAGAACAUCACUCUGACAUGUCGAGCUCCAAACAACAACAUCAUCUUAGGUGUAGAGUGGAGCAGAGCUGACCUGGGAGAUAAAUAUGUGCUUUUUUAUCGGAAUGAGCAGUUUGAUCCUGAUGGUCAGCAUCCGUCUUUUAAGAACCGGGUGGAUCUGCAGGACAGACAGAUGAAGGAUGGAGACGUGUCUUUGAUUCUGAAGGAUGUGACGAUUAAUGACACUGGAACAUACGAGUGUCGUGUCAAGGCAGAAACAAACCGUAGAAAGAGAGCUAUUUUGGAUGUUGAUCCCAUCAGCAUCAUCACACUGAGUGUUGUUGAUCCUCCAGGUCAGACAGGAGGAGACACAGAGGAUGGAGGGAAGGAAGAUGGAGGGAAGGAGGAUGGAGACAUAGAGGAUGGAUCUGUUGGACUGAAAGUUGGUUUAUCAGUUUCUGCUGUGCUUCUUGUUGCUGCUGUUGUUGGUUUUGUGAUCUACAAAAAAUGUAGUCAAUCCAAACAGACAGAAUUCAUGCCAGCAAACCGAUGAUCUACAGCAUGGAAAUGGCUCAGUGACUCAUACAGAGUCAGAGAAGCCUGCAUUGCUAAAUCAAACAGAAGGAUAAUGUGUGACUAAAAAACCAAAAACAAUUAUGUCCAAGUAGAAAACCAGAAGAAUCACAUGUUUCCAAAGAGUUUUUCCAGGAUAGACGAUGGUUUGAUAAAUAAGCUGUGUUUGGGCUGAAAUAACGGAGGAGUGAACAUCAGUUCUCUCAAUAUUUUCACUUUGCCUCAAGACUGAAAAAAGUGAUUAUAAAACCAAGAAGAACAGUUGAGGACAAGGAGCACCAAAUCUGUCCAAGUUAGCUGAUCAUCUCAGUGUAACAUGUUGUGUAUUUUUCAUUUACAUCUUGUUGUUUUGUGGAACGGUUUGAUCAUUUUUUCAAGAAAAGAAAAGAGAGAACUUCUUAAAAUAAGUGAAAUAUAUCAUUUUUUUUCCAGAAGGUGUUCAGUUUGACUCAACUGUCCAAAAAGCUCAACAUCCACUGAUAUAAAAAUAACUGUUUGUUUCCCCCAGUAUUCAUGAAUUCAGUGUCUUAUAUGUUACAGAAUCAGAGUCAUUGAAUGUGUUUAAUCUUCAGGUUCAGCUGUUUGUAAGAUCAAACUUGUUCUGUGAAGUUUGAAGCACACAAUGUAUUGAUCAGUUGUUACAGUAUAAUUAUACUUACUUUCUGAUGGGGCUGGUUACAUAUUUUCUUUAAUGUAUUUUUUAUACUUCAUGUGAGUUCAUUACUAAUGCAACUGCAGCAGAUAGACAAAUGAAAUUAUUUAUUGUUUCGUGUUAGCUUAAAAUAAAACGUUGAGUGGAAAGCUGCAUUGAUGUGCUCUAAACAAAAUUAAAUGAUGUUACUCCUGAACUAGAAUGUGAUUGCAAUGGAGAACAGAGGAAAAAGGUAUGGAAGAGUUUUAGGGCCACAUUAAGAAAAAAAGAUUGUCAAUUUCAAGAAAAAAGUCAAACUUCCUUAGUCUUCAAAAUGACCUGUUCUGAUGACUUAGUGAAAGAAAUUAAUCAGUCAUCUUGUGAUACAACAUAAAUCUGAGAGGAAUUAUGUUCUAUCACAUGUGGGUGUAACCUUCCCCAAGCCUUUAUCUGUCCACUGCUAGCUAUUUCAUUUUAUACAAUUGUUGGUCUGACCACAUCUUUCAACACCAUCUUUUCAAAGUCCUUAUACUGAUCACCACACUGAAAAUGAAGGAAAAAAAAUAAUAAUAAUAAUUUCCUUCAUUUUGAGUAAAACUGAUUCUGAAAUAUGAUUUCACUAACUCAGAGAGUAUAGCAAUCAUAGCAGUUUGUCUUGAAACAACUGUAAUAUUCAUAUUUUGACUUUAAUGUUGAAAUUUUGACUUUAUUCUUUAAAUGUGGCCCUAAUACUCUCCCGUAGGUGGGACCAAGGAAAGCACUCCAACUACACACAAUGGCUUUCACGUUUAUAUUUGUUGUACAUAUUCAGAGUAGUUCCUGUUAACCAAAGAGUGGAUUUGUCAGUCUCUGUGACCUCAUAAUCAAAUCACUGAUUUUCACUGAUGACAUGGUGGAGGAGGUGUCAGGAGCCUCCAAAACUCAAUGAUAGAAAAGUUUGUACCUCUAAGUUUGUUGUUUUUAGAGCCAGAAGUGGCUAAAUUUAGAAGUGUGGGUGAAGUGCUCAUUCAUCCACUAGUGUUGCUAGCUCUGUUCAUCUCUCUGAAAUUAUUUAUCUUCCUCAUCGUCAAAAAUGCAAAAUGUUAAGUUUAUAUGUUGGUUACACAUCAAGUAUGAAUCGAUAAAAUUCUGAAUCUUAUACUGUUUUUACACAUGUUCAGCACCAGCUUUGUUAGCAAGCUGCACGUGAACUGUUUGGGUGCAUCAUACAGACAUACUUCCUCUCAUUUCAGAGUUUGUACAGACUCAGCUUUUCUUUAUAUCUCGUUUUGUACUCUUACAAAGGACCCAUCUCCUAGUACAAAUAAAAAUACAUUAUUAUUGUACUUUGCUAAAAUUGUAAGGUAUCCGUACCUUAUGUGCAUAUUUAUUUUUUUGGCUUUUAUUUUCUACAAUUUAGCAUAAGUAUUUGUACUUUCCUCUCAUUACAGGUUCAAAACAAACUUGUUAAUUUUGUUUUAACACAUUUAAGGUAAGUUAUUAUUUUAGGUCAAUGCUGGCCUUCAAGUAUCAAACUGAUAUGUGCCUAAAGAGGAACACAUAACAGCCAGUCCUAAUUGUGUAUCAGUUACGAGGGGUUAUCGGAUAAAAGGAGAUGAAAGAGAUGAAAGCAGAUUAAUUUUUUUUUUUUUUUUUUUUUUUUGUGGCAAAACUCAAUAAAGAGGGCAGAUGUCCAGACACAGUAGUCGUGAUACUUCACUGCACAGGUCUAGGGAGGAGAACCGGGAUCAUGCCACCG
This is a long non-coding RNA of Pelmatolapia mariae (spotted tilapia), 3008 nucleotides long. RefSeq lists it as uncharacterized. The record is from RefSeq and is a predicted model, not a curated record. NCBI's taxonomy places the organism in Eukaryota, Metazoa, Chordata, Actinopteri, Cichliformes, Cichlidae. The transcript has 3 exons.